UACUAAGACCAUGCCACCCUGAACAAGCCAGAUCCCUUCUGAUCUCAGAAGUUAAGCAGGUUAGUACUUGGAUGGGAGACCACCUAGGAAGACCAGGUGCUGUAGGCU
RNAcentral lists this ribosomal RNA (108 nucleotides) under Pteropus alecto (black flying fox). The record is from RNAcentral. Lineage: Eukaryota; Metazoa; Chordata; Mammalia; Chiroptera; Pteropodidae.